This is a long non-coding RNA of Nerophis ophidion (straightnose pipefish), 567 nucleotides long. RefSeq lists it as uncharacterized. The transcript has 3 exons. NCBI's taxonomy places the organism in Eukaryota, Metazoa, Chordata, Actinopteri, Syngnathiformes, Syngnathidae. The record is from RefSeq and is a predicted model, not a curated record.
CUUCGGGUAUUGCGCAAGUUGUUAAGUGCUCUUAAUGCUUUGCCAAUUUGGCUCCAAGAACAUCUGGUCAUGUUUUUGUGUUUAAUUCAGAGAACAUCAUCACACUGUCUUUCACACUCACUUUCUGAAACACCAUGUGAAGAAACAAGCUGAUGUCUUGCUGGCAGGGGAAGUAUCAGGAGCUGGACUUGUUGUGUCCCACACCUCCAAGCUCCCAGCCUGGGAACGGAAGCCGCAAGCCUCCGGAGAAAACAAGCAGACAAUCAGGUCAAAGGGCUCACCCUGUCCCAAUGUGAACCCAAAGGUCGUGACCCCGACUGCAGAGGAACUGGCACUGUGGAGGCAGAAGGAGUUGGCACAAGCGGUGACUCGGUUAACAUCCUGGAAUGUGGACAACAAUGACGCACUAAAGUACACGGGGGACUCUCGGCAAAGUUCAUACCUGCACAAAGUGUCAGCGGGUAGUGCCAUCUGUGAGCACUUAGCAGCAUGUGUGGCACGUACGUUCUUCAGGGCAAUGCGGUGACCGCGAAAAAAAAAAGAAAAGAAAAAAAAAAACAAUAGAAA